GACGAACCGUGCGAACGUUAUUCGGAAUCAUUGGGCUUAAAGGGCGCGUAGGCGGCGGCGUAAGUUGGAAGUGAAAUCCCAUCGGCUCAACCGUGGAAUUGCUCCCAGUACUGCGUCGCUCGAGGGGGAUAGGGGUCUGCGGAACUACCGGCGGAGCGGUGAAAUGUGUUGAUAUCGGUGGGAACGCCAGUGGCGAAAGCGGCAGACUGGACCCUUCCUGACGCUGAUGCGCGAAAGCUAGGGGAGCAAACGGG
This 254-nucleotide ribosomal RNA is filed under the name uncultured bacterium. RNAcentral's name for it is "partial 16S ribosomal RNA". It matches the Rfam family "Bacterial small subunit ribosomal RNA", at positions 524 to 776 of the family's 1533-position model. The record is from RNAcentral.